UUUUCACACAACAGAGCCGACUU
RNAcentral lists this small nuclear RNA (23 nucleotides) under Arabidopsis thaliana (thale cress). RNAcentral's name for it is "snRNA_17650". Lineage: Eukaryota; Viridiplantae; Streptophyta; Magnoliopsida; Brassicales; Brassicaceae. The record is from RNAcentral.